RNAcentral lists this ribosomal RNA (274 nucleotides) under uncultured bacterium. RNAcentral describes it as "partial 16S ribosomal RNA". It matches the Rfam family "Bacterial small subunit ribosomal RNA", at positions 523 to 796 of the family's 1533-position model. The record is from RNAcentral.
AUACGGAGGGCGCGAGCGUUACUCGGAGUCACUGGGCGUAAAGCGUCCGUAGGCGGUCGGGUAAGUCGGGUGUGAAAGCCCCGGGCUCAACCUGGGAAGUGCACCCGAUACUGCUCGACUCGAGUGCGGGAGAGGAUGGCGGAAUUCCCGGUGUAGCGGUGAAAUGCGUAGAGAUCGGGAGGAACACCAGUGGCGAAGGCGGCCAUCUGGCCCGCAACUGACGCUGAGGGACGAAAGCGUGGGGAGCAAACAGGAUUAGAUACCCCAGUAGUCC